UUAAUUAAGUGUACACAUAUGUGCUUCCUUU
RNAcentral lists this non-coding RNA (31 nucleotides) under Mus musculus (house mouse). The record is from RNAcentral. Lineage: Eukaryota; Metazoa; Chordata; Mammalia; Rodentia; Muridae.